AAGUUAGACACACGGGUGACUGCUG
This 25-nucleotide non-coding RNA is filed under the name Cricetulus griseus (Chinese hamster). The record is from RNAcentral. Lineage: Eukaryota; Metazoa; Chordata; Mammalia; Rodentia; Cricetidae.